UGGAAAUUACGUGUUAAUAUUGUAGAAUAAAUUUUAUUUGCGAUAUCAGACUCUUACAAACAUACAACAAUGUUGGGCCAAUGAUGUUCCAACAUUCUAAAGUAUUACCCAGCUAUGAAACCAUUCAUGUGUCGCAAAGAGAACAUUGAUAGUGGGCAGCAAAACGUAUUAAGAGUUACCUCCCUUGAUAAUGCGAAGGAGCCGUCUGGCAUAAGGGCUAUUCACUGUACAUCAAUAAAGGAGGUUCCAGCCUGCGUCCCUGAGACAAGGUUUCUCCAUGUGAAUAGAACAGAUUCGUCCGCAUUCAGAAGUUUCCCCACAGUAAUGCAGAAAAUUCAUUCUGGGAUGUUGUCGUUUAGUAUGGUUAUGUGUAUUUAGGCAAGGUAUAAACAUAAAAGAAGAGAAAAUUAUAUCCUUUGAAAUCAUCAGUUUAUGGGACUUUAGCCAAUUUUGUCCAAUUUCAGUACGGUGAAAAAAUCUUCAAAAUUCAGUCAAAAAUUUAAAUUUCAUUUUUUGAUGGAGCAGUUAAGUCUUACAAUGUAUUUUAAGGCAAGAAACAAAUAGAAAAAAAGAAUAAAAAUUAUAUCCUUUGAAAUCACCUCAUUAUUGGACUUUAGCCAAUUUGGCCCAGUUUCAGUAAUUUGGAA
Molecule: long non-coding RNA, 647 nt
Organism: Haliotis rufescens (red abalone)
Lineage: Eukaryota; Metazoa; Mollusca; Gastropoda; Lepetellida; Haliotidae
Exons: 3
Source: RefSeq, a predicted model, not a curated record